UACGGGAGGCAGCAGUGGGGAAUAUUGCACAAUGGGCGAAAGCCUGAUGCAGCUAUGCCGCGUGUAUGAAGAAGGCCUUAGGGUUGUAAAGUACUUUCAUCGGGGAGGAAAAACAAAACUAAUAAUUUUAUUUCUUGACGUUACCCGAAAAAGAAGCACCGGCUAACUCCGUGCCAGCAGCCGCGGUAAUACGGAGGGUGCUAGCGUUAAUCAGAAUUACUGGGCGUAAAGAGCACGUAGGUGGUUUUUUUAAGUCAGAUGUGAAAUCCCUGGGCUUAACCUGGAACUGCAUUUUUGAAACUGAAAUACUAGAGUAUCGUAGAGGGAGGUAGAAUUCUAGGUGUAGCGGUGAAAUGCGUAGAUAUCUGGAGGAAUACCUGUGGCGAAAGCGGCCUCCUAAACGAAUACUGACACUGAGGUGCGAAAGCGUGGGGAGCAAACAGGGAUUAGAUACC
Molecule: ribosomal RNA, 455 nt
Filed under: uncultured bacterium
Lineage: Bacteria
Description: bacterial SSU rRNA
Rfam family: Bacterial small subunit ribosomal RNA
Source: RNAcentral